AUCAAAUGUUACUUUCUUGUCUUUUAAUCGGCGUCACAAUGUAUCAGGGAGACAGCGCGAGCGCAUGCGCGCCAGUGUUUUCCAGGGCUGGUGUUCAUGUGUCUGGAGCAGUCCCACUAUGGCCAAGGCUCGGGAAGCGCCCAGGCGCGUAACUAAAACUGAAACUACACUCAAAGCUUCGCCAGCGGACUCCCGCCUACUUACCGACUCAAAGCCGUAAGCUAAUCAGACAGCAGCGCGACGCGACGCGACGCGUGUAAUAUUCAUGAGGCGAGGCUUUGCUGUUUGCAGCGCAGCUCCAGCGCCGCGUUUCUCCAGCGCGUCUGACCGCAGAGGGGAGCUUCUGUCGCGGCGCUUGAAUGAGGUUGAUGCUGCUCUGCUGCUCCUGGAAGGACGAACGCAUGGGAGAGGAGGAAGCUGGCGGCAGGUUGCCGGAGUGUGCGGGCUGCAGACAGCACAUCUAUGAUCAGCAGUACCUACAGGCCCUGGACUCGGACUGGCACACGCUGUGUUUCAGGUAAGAGCUGCGUCCGGGAGCGUGACAGGGCCGCCUCCUUACCUGGAGUUUGCACAUCACCAAAACUACUGCUACAUGAUCUACACCACCAAGACAACGAUUUCACCCAAGUUGUGGGUUUAGAGUCCAAAUGAUGAGGUGAAAAUAAAAUGAAUGGCCUUUCUGCUGAGUUGUUCUCGUGGGCCGUACACAGUGCAGUGAUCCACCAACAGAUGACCCCGACUCACUGACUCCAUCAGAGCAGAUCAUUUCACAUGCUCCAGAAAGAGAAAUGUUGGUUAUUCAUGGCAUUCAAUAGGAAAUACAUUUCAUUUAUACCAUGUUUAUCAAUAAAAUGAAUGAAAAUAAAUAGAAAUUGGUUCAUUUUAAUUACCCAAAUAUUUGUGUGCUUAUCAGAGUAAGACAUUGGGUCUCAUACACUAAUAAUUGCAUAGAUUAUUGGUAUUUAUAUACACAUUCGGACUUCCACCUAAUUCACAUCACAUGAAUUAGUUCUUAAUGUUAGUGACUCUGGAGUACUCUAAAUCAGCAGCCGCACGCACGAGGUCAGUCAAGUGCAUUAAGAUGCCCAGACCAUCUCUUUCCUUACAGCCUUUCGUCACUCUCAUCAAAGAUCCCCCACACGAACUCGUAUGACGCUCGCUGUCUACAGACGCACUCUCACCAGAUCUUUCAGCAAUGCAAAGAGCCAGUUCAUGCACCAUAAAACAGACCCAGCUUCCAGAGCUCUCAUUGGCCGGCUGGGCAGAUGCUCGCAGCUCCAGCUAUAGUCUAACACAGCUCGUCUUACUCUUUCACUGUAUAUGAUGAACUCAUUUUAAGACUAUUAUCCUGAGAUGAAACAUAUAUGAUAUACAUAUUUUAUCCUAUAGAUUAAAUACAUUAUUAAGAGAUGCGUAUGUGUGCAUUUGGCUGUUCCUAUAUUUUUCUUAAAUUUAGAAUAUAUUUUAGAAGGAAAAUGUUUUAGUGAAUCAUGAUUUCUCCGUGAAAACAUUUGUACGCAGGUUUCACAUGUAUUCAUGCUCGGUGUGAAUGAGAGCCAUUGUUAGUGUAUUCUAGUUUUCUUGUCUUCAGGCACUAUGUAGGCAGUCUGCUCUCAGCCAUUUGAAACAGAACUAGUGUGUUACUUUGCUCUGCUUGUGUAUUUAAUUAAACCUUUCUUAAACCCCUCAGUUACUGAGGUACAGUGUGGAGACUGAAGCUGAAGUGUCUGCGUUUCCUCAGAGCCAAACUAACGCUGAUGAACUCACUUCUUGCCCUAGCAGAGGAAGUACGGCGCUUACAGGACAGACAAGCGGCUCUGAGUGUUGAACAGAGCUGCUUUUGUCUUUGUUUUCUGUGUUCACCUCUUGUUUGGGGCUUUUUUGCUGUGUAAUUGUUUCUUUCCCAAUAAUCCAUCAGACCGCUGAGAGGGAUCUGUUCCUUCUACCAAUAACUGGAAGAUUUGUGUGUCACAUGAUCUCAGGUGGUGUGUAGAGGCCUCCAUCUCACCUGAUGAAAAGCGAUCUGAGAUUGGGAAACCAUUCAGCUACGUAAUUCUUUUCAGCAACAUUGUGGAAGUCUGUUUCAUCAUCAGCGGCACUGGAGGAAAACACUCUAAAUAAGUGAGAUUGUAAGGUGCUGACUGACCCAAUUAAAAAGAAUCUGUCCUUGUGUGUCUGUGAUCUUUGGUCUGUAGAUGUAGCUCAGGUUCAUCCUUCAGCGUGCGUCUCCUGAUCUGAGGACUCGUCUCCAUGUUCUGCUGUGUUCAUGUGUCAAUCACAGUCGUGAGGCCAAAAACCCACACAUUGUGAAACACACACAACCCACUCAUAUUUACACAAUCCUCAUCUCAAAGCCUCUUGUGAAUCGCUCACUGAUGCUGAAAUCAAGUUGCUGGCUGCUUAUCCAAACAGUUAAAGAAUGAGCUGUGUUCUUUAUGCUAAUGUUGGACUAAUCUGUGUGGCUAUAACAGGAACAGUCAUGCAUGCUGCUGGCUUUAAGCAAUAUCUGCACAGGAUUUCAGAAGUUUGUUGGGAAACUGUGUUUACAGGUUCAUACGAUGGUAACACUUAACAGCAAGAUAAAAAUAAUCAUGCUCAGACUUCUGUAUUUCAUUUGGUUGUAAAUAUUGUGUUAGUGUUGUUUUUAAUUUCACUAUUUGAAAAUAAAAUAUUACAUAAAAUAA
Cyprinus carpio (common carp) is the source of this 2684-nucleotide long non-coding RNA. RefSeq lists it as uncharacterized. NCBI's taxonomy places the organism in Eukaryota, Metazoa, Chordata, Actinopteri, Cypriniformes, Cyprinidae. The transcript is spliced from 2 exons. The record is from RefSeq and is a predicted model, not a curated record.